ACCCCUGUGACAUACCUUAUGUUGCCUCGGCGGAUCAGCCCGCGCCCCGUAAAAAGGGACGGCCCGCCGCAGGAACCCUAAACUCUGUUUUUAGUGGAACUUCUGAGUAUAAAAAACAAAUAAAUCAAAACUUUCAACAACGGAUCUCUUGGUUCUGGCAUCGAUGAAGAACGCAGCAAAAUGCGAUAAGUAAUGUGAAUUGCAGAAUUCAGUGAAUCAUCGAAUCUUUGAACGCACAUUGCGCCCGCCAGUAUUCUGGCGGGCAUGCCUGUUCGAGCGUCAUUUCAACCCUCAAGCCCAGCUUGGUGUUGGGAGCUGCAGUCCUGCUGCACUCCCCAAAUACAUUGGCGGUCACGUCGAGCUUCCAUAGCGUAGUAAUUUACAUAUCGUUACUGGUAAUCGUCGCGGCCACGCCGUUAAACCCCAACUUCUGAAUGUUGACCUCGGAUCAGGUAGGAAUACCCGCUGAACUUAAGCAUAUC
RNAcentral lists this ribosomal RNA (482 nucleotides) under Fusarium culmorum. Its description in RNAcentral is "eukaryotic LSU rRNA". The stretch from base 129 to 282 matches the Rfam family "5.8S ribosomal RNA". The record is from RNAcentral. Lineage: Eukaryota; Fungi; Ascomycota; Sordariomycetes; Hypocreales; Nectriaceae.